RNAcentral lists this transfer RNA (56 nucleotides) under Steinernema kushidai. RNAcentral's name for it is "tRNA-Cys". Lineage: Eukaryota; Metazoa; Nematoda; Chromadorea; Rhabditida; Steinernematidae. The record is from RNAcentral.
AGACUUUUAGUAUAUAUAAGUAUUUUUAAUUGCAAAUUAAAAGGUUUUGAAGUCUU